UACAGAGGUCCCGAGCGUUGUUCGGAUUCACUGGGCGUAAAGGGUGCGUAGGUGGCGAGGAAAGUCGGAUGUGAAAGCUCGGAGCUCAACUCCGAAAUGGCAUUGGAAACUACCUUGCUCGAGGGUUGGAGGGGGGACUGGAAUUCUCGGUGUAGCAGUGAAAUGCGUAGAUAUCGAGAGGAACACCAGUGGCGAAGGCGGUUCUCUGGGACGGUACUGACGCUGAGACGCGAAAGCGUGGGGAGCGAACAGG
This 253-nucleotide ribosomal RNA is filed under the name uncultured bacterium. RNAcentral describes it as "partial 16S ribosomal RNA". It matches the Rfam family "Bacterial small subunit ribosomal RNA", at positions 524 to 776 of the family's 1533-position model. The record is from RNAcentral.